Molecule: ribosomal RNA, 994 nt
Filed under: uncultured Halomonas SIC.42334
Lineage: Bacteria; Pseudomonadati; Pseudomonadota; Gammaproteobacteria; Oceanospirillales; Halomonadaceae
Description: bacterial SSU rRNA
Rfam family: Bacterial small subunit ribosomal RNA
Source: RNAcentral
CAGCAGCCGCGGUAAUACGGAGGGUGCAAGCGUUAAUCGGAAUUACUGGGCGUAAAGCGCGCGUAGGUGGCUUGAUAAGCCGGUUGUGAAAGCCCCGGGCUCAACCUGGGAACGGCAUCCGGAACUGUCAAGCUAGAGUGCAGGAGAGGAAGGUAGAAUUCCCGGUGUAGCGGUGAAAUGCGUAGAGAUCGGGAGGAAUACCAGUGGCGAAGGCGGCCUUCUGGACUGACACUGACACUGAGGUGCGAAAGCGUGGGUGGCAAACAGGAUUAGAUACCCUGGUAGUCCACGCCGUAAACGAUGUCGACCAGCCGUUGGGUGCCUAGCGCACUUUGUGGCGAAGUUAACGCGAUAAGUCGACCGCCUGGGGAGUACGGCCGCAAGGUUAAAACUCAAAUGAAUUGACGGGGGCCCGCACAAGCGGUGGAGCAUGUGGUUUAAUUCGAUGCAACGCGAAGAACCUUACCUACUCUUGACAUCCUGCGAAUUUGGUAGAGAUACCUUAGUGCCUUCGGGAACGCAGAGACAGGUGCUGCAUGGCUGUCGUCAGCUCGUGUUGUGAAAUGUUGGGUUAAGUCCCGUAACGAGCGCAACCCUUGUCCUUAUUUGCCAGCGCGUAAUGGCGGGAACUCUAAGGAGACUGCCGGUGACAAACCGGAGGAAGGUGGGGACGACGUCAAGUCAUCAUGGCCCUUACGAGUAGGGCUACACACGUGCUACAAUGGUCGGUACAAAGGGUUGCCAACUCGCGAGAGUGAGCCAAUCCCGAAAAGCCGAUCUCAGUCCGGAUCGGAGUCCGCAACUCGACUCCGUGAAGUCGGAAUCGCUAGUAAUCGUGGAUCAGAAUGCCACGGUGAGUACGUUCCCGGGCCUUGUACACACCGCCCGUCACACCAUGGGAGUGGACUGCACCAGAAGUGGUUAGCCUAACGCAAGAGGGCGAUCACCACGGUGUGGUUCAUGACUGGGGUGAAGUCGUAACAAGGUAACCGUA